This 171-nucleotide small RNA is filed under the name Serinus canaria (Common canary). RNAcentral describes it as "TUC338 (ENSSCAG00000010921.1)". The record is from RNAcentral. Lineage: Eukaryota; Metazoa; Chordata; Aves; Passeriformes; Fringillidae.
UUAACAGUCCUGGAGCCUGGAGUUCUGCUCAGCCAUAACAGAGCGCUGAAGCUGACAGCAGGGUGGAAUUGUACAUGCUGCUCACCUUAUGCUCCUUAAUUGGGCUCAGCAGAGACCAUAUCUAAGGAUAGAGGUAGUUUUGUUUUCACGCUAAUUUAAUCCCUGGCUACU